Molecule: transfer RNA, 61 nt
Filed under: Dipodomys ordii (Ord's kangaroo rat)
Lineage: Eukaryota; Metazoa; Chordata; Mammalia; Rodentia; Heteromyidae
Rfam family: tRNA
About the family: Transfer RNA (tRNA) molecules are approximately 80 nucleotides in length.
Source: Rfam by way of RNAcentral
UGUGGCUCAGUGGUAGAGCACCUGCCUAGCAACCACAAGGCCCUGAGUUCAAACCUCAGUA